RNAcentral lists this ribosomal RNA (423 nucleotides) under uncultured prokaryote. RNAcentral describes it as "bacterial SSU rRNA". It matches the Rfam family "Bacterial small subunit ribosomal RNA", at positions 355 to 796 of the family's 1533-position model. The record is from RNAcentral.
UGGGGAAUCUUGGACAAUGGGGGCAACCCUGAUCCAGCGACGCCGCGUGGGUGGUAAGGCCUUCGGGUUGUAAAGCCCUUUCACCGGGGAAGAUGAUGACAUUACCCGGAGAAGAAGCGCCGGCUAACUCCGUGCCAGCAGCCGCGGUAAGACGGAGGGCGCUAGCGUUGUUCGGAAUCACUGGGCGUAAAGGGCGCGUAGGCGGCUGUUUAAGUCGAGGGUGAAAGCCCGGGGCUCAACCCCGGAACGGCCUUCGAGACUGGGCAGCUCGAGACCGGAAGAGGAGGGUGGAAUACCCAGUGUAGAGGUGAAAUUCGUAGAUAUUGGGAAGAACACCGGUGGCGAAAGCGCUCUACUGGGCCAUGACUGACACUCAGAGACGAAAGCUAAGGUAGCGAAUGGGAUUAGAUACCCGCGUAGUCC